GUGCUCAUUUUGACAGAACAUAUGCUCAAAGUGGAAUGACACAGAAAAAAAUACCAUGGUUCCUAUGAAAGAAUGACAAACACAUUUGUGAAAUAUUUCAUACUUUU
Molecule: small nuclear RNA, 107 nt
Organism: Heterocephalus glaber (naked mole-rat)
Lineage: Eukaryota; Metazoa; Chordata; Mammalia; Rodentia; Bathyergidae
Source: Ensembl